Non-coding RNA from Pelodiscus sinensis (Chinese soft-shelled turtle), 561 nucleotides. NCBI's taxonomy places the organism in Eukaryota, Metazoa, Chordata, Testudines, Trionychidae. The record is from RefSeq and is a predicted model, not a curated record.
CAGGCGCUUUGGUGCUAGGGAGAGCAAGAGGACAAAUACAGGGACAAUGCUGUAGUGAGAAAAACAAGGAAAGGACCCGGCCCAGUAGAGAGAAUUGUUCAACUAUGAAACCAGUGACUGAGCCGUCCUGCAGAAUCACCACGAAAGUUGUGUGAAAUGAUGGUGUGAUCGGGCAAAGGGGACUUAGGCGACUGUUUACUGAGAAUAGCGGUUGAGAUGCAAAAUGUUAAAGCUUUAUAACCACUCACACCAAUUGCCACCUUCACAUCUCAAACCAGACACAGUAAAUACCCGGACUUGAGUUCUCCAGGAGCAUUUUUCUGACGUCGCCUGGCUGUACGUUUUUAUUUUGUUCAGUGGAAAUAUUUUUUCAUGUAUGUGUGUGGACAGGGAAAUUGACAUGUGCCAAUAAAAAUCUAAACCUCCCAAGCCCACUUACAGACAAGAGGCUGUUUGAAUUUACUGCAUAAAGACUGAGUAUAUUUCACUGCAAGCAACAUAAAAGAUCUUUAAAAAAAAAAAACUUCAUAAACUCCAGAAGAGGUGCUGGGAAGCAGAGAG